UAUGCAUUUUGAUGUGUUUAAGGCAUGAUCGAGCAAACAAACGACAGAAUACUUUUUCUGAAACCUUAACUGUGUUACCUGUUAUGGCAGCUAACAGGGAUCAGCUGUUAGCGCUGCGCCCUGCAGCUGCGCUACCGGCAGACAGACCCUACAUCCCCAGUGAGGGAAGAAACGGGGGUGAUGUCUCCCGAGGACACCUCACACACCAUCUCUCCUUCCUGUAAUCACUUUAAAUGUGAGAUCGCUCCCUGUCCUCCCGUACUGGUGAUGGUGAAGCCAAGGAGAGAAGGCCCAAGUAAUAAACACCCGUU
Molecule: non-coding RNA, 311 nt
Organism: Maylandia zebra (zebra mbuna)
Lineage: Eukaryota; Metazoa; Chordata; Actinopteri; Cichliformes; Cichlidae
Source: RefSeq, a predicted model, not a curated record